CUGUGCAGACCUGUGUCCUUAGAAUACAGAGCAGGGGGGAGGGAAGGUGGGGGGCUGUGUAUUCAGCUGGAUGAGAUGAGGGGGCGUGGCUUAUUCCUCUCAUGCAGACAGAGAAAAAAAAAACUGUGACAUCUUGUCCACCACAGACUCAGAACUGUGGACAACAGUAAAAGAAACCCCUCUGAACUACAGAACUUCUCGCCCAACAAACAGCAUCGGUGACGUCACUUUUCAUUUACUGAAGUCGCCGCACUCUGAACUCUGACUCACGGAGGCUGCAGGAAAUGAAAAGUGAUGUCACUGAUGCUGCGCAGAGGAGCCGGGAGAGGACGUCCUUCAUCUGCUUCAUGACCACACAGCCCGCAAGACCCGCCGUCUGACCUGGCCUGCCGAAUCGCAGCGAGAAAUCUGGACUUACUGACGAUUGCCUACAAAGCCUUCCCAAUGAUGACAAGAUGACAUUAGUGCUCUGUUGUUAUUGAGCCCCUGAGAGUCCCCUCCAUUACAGGGGGCAUGAUUUAUCAUGGCACAUGCCCUUGUGGAUUAAUAUACAUCGGGAUGACCACCAGAGAUUUAAAACGACGUGUGAGAGAGCAUAUUCUCGGAAUUAUCGCAGCCGAGGAUGAACAAGACCUCGCAAAUCUUACCACCUUUCCCAGGCAUUUUAAACAACAUCAUAACUGCAAUCCAGAGGGUUUCAUGGUGGCAAGUUGUGACUCUUCCUGUUGUUGACUAUACCGCUCGGUGAUGUGGAUUCAGGAAUUAGAUUUGUUGCAUUCCUUGAGUGUAAUAUUUAGGGAUGUGCGACCAUGCACCUGAUGGCUAUGUACAUACACUUUUUUGAACCUUGGUGAUGGUCUGUCCAUCAGUGUGCAUGCGCUUGCGCUGGUGUUGCCGUGACACCCGUUUAUAUACCCCAUACGGUAAGCUGCGACUAGCGGUGUCUAACGCCGCCGAUUACCAUCGGCUGCAGCAGGAAAAGAGCGAUCCGGACCUCCACAUCUGGUCACAUGACCUCCACUUCCUGUUGAGAGUGCCGACAUUCGGCUGCACUCAUUGGAGCGCACCCGACCACCGGGAGCAUGUCAUAAACACAGGCGUGCAUCAAAUUAAGCCACCACACCUCGCGCCAACAACAGGAAGGUCAAAGCUGCAGGUUAUUAUUCUCCCCAUUCGCCGUACUUGAUUCGCUGUCUGCUGCCAUAUAUACUGCCUCUAUUUACCCCUAAGACAUGCCCCCUGAGGAAGCCAGUAUAGCCAAAACGCAUUUGGGGUAGGAGGUGAACAGUGCCUGUCAGGUGCCUGGGUCAAGCUUGGUAUUAUUGCUUAUAAUGUGAUAUAUUUACUCUGCCAUUUGCUGUCUUGCACCUUAUAGCAGUGACAUCAUUUUUUCCAUAUCUAGCUAUUUGCUUAUACCACUGUGAUAUCUAGCUAUCAGUUUACAUUAUUACUGUAUCCAGUUAUAUGUUUGCACUAUUAUUGCACAAUUGCACUACGACACCUACACAUGUCAUGAUACUAUUUGAGUUAUUUCCUGUAGUGAAUGUCCUUCUGGUGAAGUGGUCCAUAUUUUGUGAUCACCACCCUUUAUAUUAAGAAUUUGUAUCCUGACAUUUUUACACUGUAGCACCCUCAUCUCCGUUUCUUCUGUCUGUUAAAAGACAUGUAAGGAAUGGGUACUACAGAUACUUCAAAUGUUUAUAGGUCUUUGUGAUAUCCUAAUAAAAUUUGCUUAUC
Molecule: long non-coding RNA, 1737 nt
Organism: Hyla sarda
Lineage: Eukaryota; Metazoa; Chordata; Amphibia; Anura; Hylidae
Exons: 7
Source: RefSeq, a predicted model, not a curated record